This 459-nucleotide ribosomal RNA is filed under the name uncultured bacterium. Its description in RNAcentral is "partial 16S ribosomal RNA". It matches the Rfam family "Bacterial small subunit ribosomal RNA", at positions 338 to 795 of the family's 1533-position model. The record is from RNAcentral.
CCUACGGGAGGCAGCAGUGAGGAAUAUUGGUCAAUGGGCGCGAGCCUGAACCAGCCAAGUCGCGUGAGGGAAGACGGUCCUAUGAAUUGUAAACCUCUUUUGUCGGGGAGCAAAAGAAGCCACGCGUGGCGUUCCGAGAGUACCCGAAGAAAAAGCAUCGGCUAACUCCGUGCCAGCAGCCGCGGUAAUACGGAGGAUGCGAGCGUUAUCCGGAUUUAUUGGGUUUAAAGGGUGCGCAGGCGGAAGAUCAAGUCAGCGGUAAAAUUGAGAGGCUCAACCUCUUCGAGCCGUUGAAACUGGUUGUCUUGAGUGAGCGAGAAGGAUGCGGAAUGUGUGGUGUAGCGGUGAAAUGCAUAGAUAUCACGCAGAACACCGAUUGCGAAGGCAGCAUACCGGCGCUCAACUGACGCUCAUGCACGAAAGUGUGGGGAUCGAACAGGAGUAGAUACCCGGGUAGUC